GUAGGGCGGGACACGUGGUAUCCUGUCUGAAUAUGGGGGGACCAUCCUCCAAGGCUAAAUACUCCUGACUGACCGAUAGUGAACCAGUACCGUGAGGGAAAGGCGAAAAGAACCCCGGCGAGGGGAGUGAAAAAGAACCUGAAACCGUGUACGUACAAGCAGUGGGAGCACCCUUUGGGGUGUGACUGCGUACCUUUUGUAUAAUGGGUCAGCGACUUAUAUUCUGUAGCAAGGUUAACCGUAUAGGGGAGCCGGAGGGAAACCGAGUCUUAACCGGGCGUUAAGUUGCAGGGUAUAGACCCGAAACCCGGUGAUCUAGCCAUGGGCAGGUUGAAGGUUGGGUAACACUAACUGGAGGACCGAACCGACUAAUGUUGAAAAAUUAGCGGAUGACCUGUGGCUGGGGGUGAAAGGCCAAUCAAACCGGGAGAUAGCUGGUUCUCCCCGAAAGCUAUUUAGGUAGCGCCUCGUGAAUUCAUCUCCGGGGGUAGAGCACUGUUUCGGCUAGGGGGCCAUCCCGGCUUACCAACCCGAUGCAAACUGCGAAUACCGGAGAAUGUUAUCACGGGAGACACACGGCGGGUGCUAACGUCCGUCGUGAAGAGGGAAACAACCCAGACCGCCAGCUAAGGUCCCAAAGUCAUGGUUAAGUGGGAAACGAUGUGGGAAGGCCCAGACAGCCAGGAUGUUGGCUUAGAAGCAGCCAUCAUUUAAAGAAAGCGUAAUAGCUCACUGGUCGAGUCGGCCUGCGCGGAAGAUGUAACGGGGCUAAACCAUGCACCGAAGCUGCGGCAGCGACACUCAGGUGUUGUUGGGUAGGGGAGCGUUCUGUAAGCCUGCGAAGGUGGCCUGUGAGGGUUGCUGGAGGUAUCAGAAGUGCGAAUGCUGACAUAAGUAACGAUAAAGCGGGUGAAAAGCCCGCUCGCCGGAAGACCAAGGGUUCCUGUCCAACGUUAAUCGGGGCAGGGUGAGUCGACCCCUAAGGCGAGGCCGAAAGGCGUAGUCGAUGGGAAACGGGUUAAUAUUCCCGUACUUGGUGUUACUGCGAAGGGGGGACGGAGAAGGCUAUGUUGGCCGGGCGACGGUUGUCCCGGUUUAAGCGUGUAGGUGUGUGUUCCAGGUAAAUCCGGUUCACUUUAACACUGAGGCGUGACGACGAGGCACUACGGUGCUGAAGCAACAAAUGCCCUGCUUCCAGGAAAAGCCUCUAAGCAUCAGGUAACAUCAAAUCGUACCCCAAACCGACACAGGUGGUCAGGUAGAGAAUACCAAGGCGCUUGAGAGAACUCGGGUGAAGGAACUAGGCAAAAUGGUGCCGUAACUUCGGGAGAAGGCACGCUGACAUGUAGGUGAAGUGAUUUACUCAUGGAGCUGAAGUCAGUCGAAGAUACCAGCUGGCUGCAACUGUUUAUUAAAAACACAGCACUGUGCAAACACGAAAGUGGACGUAUACGGUGUGACGCCUGCCCGGUGCCGGAAGGUUAAUUGAUGGGGUCAGCGCAAGCGAAGCUCCUGAUCGAAGCCCCGGUAAACGGCGGCCGUAACUAUAACGGUCCUAAGGUAGCGAAAUUCCUUGUCGGGUAAGUUCCGACCUGCACGAAUGGCGUAAUGAUGGCCAGGCUGUCUCCACCCGAGACUCAGUGAAAUUGAACUCGCUGUGAAGAUGCAGUGUACCCGCGGCAAGACGGAAAGACCCCGUGAACCUUUACUAUAGCUUGACACUGAACAUUGAGCCUUGAUGUGUAGGAUAGGUGGGAGGCUUUGAAGUGUGG
RNAcentral lists this ribosomal RNA (1772 nucleotides) under Salmonella enterica subsp. enterica serovar Panama. RNAcentral describes it as "partial 23S ribosomal RNA". It matches the Rfam family "Bacterial large subunit ribosomal RNA", at positions 412 to 2167 of the family's 2925-position model. Lineage: Bacteria; Pseudomonadati; Pseudomonadota; Gammaproteobacteria; Enterobacterales; Enterobacteriaceae. The record is from RNAcentral.